RNAcentral lists this ribosomal RNA (497 nucleotides) under uncultured bacterium. Its description in RNAcentral is "partial 16S ribosomal RNA". It matches the Rfam family "Bacterial small subunit ribosomal RNA", at positions 28 to 507 of the family's 1533-position model. The record is from RNAcentral.
GAUGAACGCUGGCGGCGUGCCUAAUACAUGCAAGUCGAGCGAACGGACGAGAAGCUUGCUUCUCUGAUGUUAGCGGCGGACGGGUGAGUAACACGUGGAUAACCUACCUAUAAGACUGGGAUAACUUCGGGAAACCGGAGCUAAUACCGGAUGAUAUUUUGAACCGCAUGGUUCAAAAGUGAAAGACGGUCUUGCUGUCACUUAUAGAUGGAUCCGCGCUGCAUUAGCUAGUUGGUAAGGUAACGGCUUACCAAGGCAACGAUGCAUAGCCGACCUGAGAGGGUGAUCGGCCACACUGGAACUGAGACACGGUCCAGACUCCUACGGGAGGCAGCAGUAGGGAAUCUUCCGCAAUGGGCGAGAGCCUGACGGAGCAACGCCGCGUGAGUGAUGAAGGUCUUCGGAUCGUAAAACUCUGUUAUUAGGGAAGAACAUAUGUGUAAGUAACUGUGCACAUCUUGACGUUACCUAAUCAGAAAGCCACGGCUAACUACGUG